CAGUCGCCGCGGUAAUACGUAGGGUGCAAGCGUUGUCCGGAAUUAUUGGGCGUAAAGAGCUCGUAGGCGGUUUGUCGCGUCUGCUGUGAAACCCCGAGGCUCAACCUCGGGCUUGCAGUGGGUACGGGCAGACUAGAGUGCGGUAGGGGAGAUUGGAAUUCCUGGUGUAGCGGUGGAAUGCGCAGAUAUCAGGAGGAACACCGAUGGCGAAGGCAGAUCUCUGGGCCGUAACUGACGCUGAGGAGCGAAAGCGUGGGGAGCGAACAGGAUUAGAUACCCCAGUAGUCCCUGUCUCUUAUAA
Molecule: ribosomal RNA, 301 nt
Filed under: uncultured bacterium
Lineage: Bacteria
Description: partial 16S ribosomal RNA
Rfam family: Bacterial small subunit ribosomal RNA
Source: RNAcentral